UACGUAGGGUGCAAGCGUUGUCCGGAAUUACUGGGCGUAAAGAGCUCGUAGGUGGUUUGUCGCGUUGUUCGUGAAAACUCACAACUCAAUUGUGGGCGUGCGGGCGAUACGGGCAGACUGGAGUACUGCAGGGGAGACUGGAAUUCCUGGUGUAGCGGUGGAAUGCGCAGAUAUCAGGAGGAACACCGGUGGCGAAGGCGGGUCUCUGGGCAGGAACUGACGCUGAGGAGCGAAAGCGUGGGGAGCGAACAGG
This 253-nucleotide ribosomal RNA is filed under the name uncultured bacterium. RNAcentral's name for it is "partial 16S ribosomal RNA". It matches the Rfam family "Bacterial small subunit ribosomal RNA", at positions 524 to 776 of the family's 1533-position model. The record is from RNAcentral.